AAUCAUCACUUGCGUUCAAACCAUAGCUGGAAACACCGCGUCCCAUCUCGAAUCGCGAAGUUAAGCAGCAUUGGGCUCUCUGAGUACUGUGAUGAGGGAUCGCACGGGAAACGGGAGUGACGCAAGUUCG
This 130-nucleotide ribosomal RNA is filed under the name Cyanidioschyzon merolae strain 10D. Lineage: Eukaryota; Rhodophyta; Bangiophyceae; Cyanidiales; Cyanidiaceae. The record is from RNAcentral.